Molecule: ribosomal RNA, 2777 nt
Filed under: human gut metagenome
Description: bacterial LSU rRNA
Rfam family: Bacterial large subunit ribosomal RNA
Source: RNAcentral
UUAAGCGACUAAGCGUACACGGUGGAUGCCCUGGCAGUCAGAGGCGAUGAAGGACGUGCUAAUCUGCGAAAAGCGUCGGUAAGGUGAUAUGAACCGUUAUAGCCGGCGAUGUCCGAAUGGGGAAACCCAGUGCAAUUCGUUGCACUAUCGUUUGAUGAAUACAUAGUCAAACGAGGCGAACCGGGGGAACUGAAACAUCUAAGUACCCCGAGGAAAAGAAAUCAACCGAGAUUCCCCCAGUAGCGGCGAGCGAACGGGGAGCAGCCCGGAGUCUGAAUCAGCUUGUGUGUUAGUGGAAGCGUCUGGAAAGUCGCAGGGUACAGGGUGAUACUCCCGUACACUAAAGCACACAGGUUGUGAACUCGAAGAGUAGGGCGGGACACGUGGUAUCCUGUCUGAAUAUGGGGGGACCAUCCUCCAAGGCUAAAUACUCCUGACUGACCGAUAGUGAACCAGUACCGUGAGGGAAAGGCGAAAAGAACCCCGGCGAGGGGAGUGAAAAAGAACCUGAAACCGUGUACGUACAAGCAGUAGGAGCCUCUUUAUGGGGUGACUGCGUACCUUUUGUAUAAUGGGUCAGCGACUUAUAUUCUGUAGCAAGGUUAACCGUAUAGGGGAGCCGCAGGGAAACCGAGUCUUAACUGGGCGUUAAGUUGCAGGGUAUAGACCCGAAACCCGGUGAUCUAGCCAUGGGCAGGUUGAAGGUUGGGUAACACUAACUGGAGGACCGAACCGACUAAUGUUGAAAAAUUAGCGGAUGACUUGUGGCUGGGGGUGAAAGGCCAAUCAAACCGGGAGAUAGCUGGUUCUCCCCGAAAGCUAUUUAGGUAGCGCCUCGUGAACUCAUCUUCGGGGGUAGAGCACUGUUUCGGCUAGGGGGUCAUCCCGACUUACCAACCCGAUGCAAACUACGAAUACCGAAGAAUGUUAUCACGGGAGACACACGGCGGGUGCUAACGUCCGUCGUGAAGAGGGAAACAACCCAGACCGCCAGCUAAGGUCCCAAAGUCAUGGUUAAGUGGGAAACGAUGUGGGAAGGCCCAGACAGCCAGGAUGUUGGCUUAGAAGCAGCCAUCAUUUAAAGAAAGCGUAAUAGCUCACUGGUCGAGUCGGCCUGCGCGGAAGAUGUAACGGGGCUAAACCAUGCACCGAAGCUGCGGCAGCGACACUAUGUGUUGUUGGGUAGGGGAGCGUUCUGUAAGCCGUUGAAGGUGGCCUGUGAGGGUUGCUGGAGGUAUCAGAAGUGCGAAUGCUGACAUAAGUAACGAUAAUGCGGGUGAAAAACCCGCACGCCGGAAGACCAAGGGUUCCUGUCCAACGUUAAUCGGGGCAGGGUGAGUCGACCCCUAAGGCGAGGCCGAAAGGCGUAGUCGAUGGGAAACAGGUUAAUAUUCCUGUACUCGGUGUUACUGCGAAGGGGGGACGGAGAAGGCUAUGUUGGCCGGGCGACGGUUGUCCCGGUUUAAGCAUGUAGGCGGAUGUUCCAGGUAAAUCCGGAACGUUAUUAACGCUGAGGUGUGAUGACGAGGCACUACGGUGCUGAAGUGACAAAUGCCCUGCUUCCAGGAAAAGCCUCUAAGCAUCAGGUAACAUCAAAUCGUACCCCAAACCGACACAGGUGGUCAGGUAGAGAAUACCAAGGCGCUUGAGAGAACUCGGGUGAAGGAACUAGGCAAAAUGGUGCCGUAACUUCGGGAGAAGGCACGCUGAUAUGUAGGUGAAGUGGUUUACCCAUGGAGCUGAAAUCAGUCGAAGAUACCAGCUGGCUGCAACUGUUUAUUAAAAACACAGCACUGUGCAAACACGAAAGUGGACGUAUACGGUGUGACGCCUGCCCGGUGCCGGAAGGUUAAUUGAUGGGGUUAUCCGUAAGGAGAAGCUCUUGAUCGAAGCCCCGGUAAACGGCGGCCGUAACUAUAACGGUCCUAAGGUAGCGAAAUUCCUUGUCGGGUAAGUUCCGACCUGCACGAAUGGCGUAAUGAUGGCCAGGCUGUCUCCACCCGAGACUCAGUGAAAUUGAACUCGCUGUGAAGAUGCAGUGUACCCGCGGCAAGACGGAAAGACCCCGUGAACCUUUACUAUAGCUUGACACUGAACACUGGUCCUUGAUGUGUAGGAUAGGUGGGAGGCUUUGAAGUGUGGACGCCAGUCUGCAUGGAGCCAUCCUUGAAAUACCACCCUUUAAUGGCUGGUGUUCUAACGUGGGCCCCUAAUCGGGGUUGCGGACAGUGUCUGGUGGGUAGUUUGACUGGGGCGGUCUCCUCCUAAAGAGUAACGGAGGAGCACGAAGGUCAGCUAAUCCUGGUCGGACAUCAGGAGGUUAGUGCAAUGGCAUAAGCUGGCUUGACUGCGAGCGUGACGGCGCGAGCAGGUGCGAAAGCAGGUCAUAGUGAUCCGGUGGUUCUGAAUGGAAGGGCCAUCGCUCAACGGAUAAAAGGUACUCCGGGGAUAACAGGCUGAUACCGCCCAAGAGUUCAUAUCGACGGCGGUGUUUGGCACCUCGAUGUCGGCUCAUCACAUCCUGGGGCUGAAGUAGGUCCCAAGGGUAUGGCUGUUCGCCAUUUAAAGUGGUACGCGAGCUGGGUUUAGAACGUCGUGAGACAGUUCGGUCCCUAUCUGCCGUGGGCGCUGGAGAAUUGAGGGGGGCUGCUCCUAGUACGAGAGGACCGGAGUGGACGCAUCACUGGUGUUCGGGUUGUCAUGCCAAUGGCAUUGCCCGGUAGCUAAAUGCGGAAGAGAUAAGUGCUGAAAGCAUCUAAGCACGAAACUUGCCCCGA